UGUAAAAUAAGCUAAAUAUUAAGCUUUUGGGUUCAUACCCCAAAUAUGAAUAGAUUAUUCUUUUACAA
RNAcentral lists this transfer RNA (68 nucleotides) under Conus navarroi. Its description in RNAcentral is "tRNA-Met". The record is from RNAcentral. Lineage: Eukaryota; Metazoa; Mollusca; Gastropoda; Neogastropoda; Conidae.